GUUAUCCUACGGGAGGCAGCAGGGAGGAAUAUUGGUCAAUGGGCUUACGCCUGAACCAGCCACGUCGCGUGAGGGAAGACUGCCCUAUGGGUUGUAAACCUCUUUUGUCAGGGAGCAACGCCGGCUACGUGUAGCCGGACUGAGAGUACCUGAAGAAAAAGCAUCGGCUAACUCCGUGCCAGCAGCCGCGUUAAUACGGAGGAUGCGAGCGUUAUCCGGAUUUAUUGGGUUUAAAGGUUGCGUAGGCGGAAUGCCAAGUCAUCGGGCAAAUCGC
This 274-nucleotide ribosomal RNA is filed under the name uncultured bacterium. Its description in RNAcentral is "partial 16S ribosomal RNA". It matches the Rfam family "Bacterial small subunit ribosomal RNA", at positions 333 to 603 of the family's 1533-position model. The record is from RNAcentral.